AGAACACUCCACAUUACGAAAACUUCAAGUAUGUAAUUAUUUUGUUAAGCGUGAAAGUGCUUGAAAUCCAGACUUCAGGAGAAGACAGAAAACAGCACCAAGAAUAUAAGCCUAAAGCCCAUAGCAUUUCACUCAGCAGUUUGUAGUGGUUGAAGCCACACCCAAAGCAAGAACCACAGUGAGCUGAUGGAUAUUUUACAGGAAAACUUCAGGUUAUGAGUAUGUGAUGGUUCCGUGAGCAAGACUGGCAUCCUUGGCUGGAUGGGCAAGCACACACCUCACAGGCAGCUGGGCCUCUCGACUUGGGGUGCGGAGGGGGAACGUGUGGAGACAACCAGGGUGUCUCCAGCAUCUUCAGGACACCUGUUGUGAUGGAUCCUGAAGGAAUUAGCAGGCGAUGUAUGCUGAUCCCACACAAAGGCUGGUAGAGAAUUUGUCCAGCUCCAGAAAGAGGGGAUGCAAAACAGGUCAUUGUCACACUGCUGGGAAGACACUCAGUAUUUGCUAGGAUCACCAGAGGGGUGCGGCUUGACUUUUAACAGAGGCUUUGGUUUUAUGAUAGAUAUGAAAACUGUCAUUCAACAGACAAGAAGAGACGUGUGUAUAAGAUUAAAGGCUGAGCAGCUUUAGGACAAGUUCACACACACAGUGACACAAGUCUUCAGAGAUACAGCUUUAAUAAUUAGAGACUUGAAAGCAGGUAGAACAAAACACUCAUGAGACUCAUUCCAUUGUCAAGAAAUUUAAUAUGGCACCAGGAGAUUUGCAUAAUUGACCUAUUUGGCUUUCUGCAUCAAGUUUGGUGUCCUGUUGCAGAAGCUGAGCAUUGACGGGACAGAGGCAUAAACUGCAGCGCUUGAUAAAAUAGAGCCCCGUAUUCUGAGGUUAGUGAAGAAAACACAAAGACUUGACAGAUGCACUCCUAGAUCGCAUCUCACAGUCAUUCAAGGUUUAGGGCAAGGGAUUUCCAUGUGGAGUCUCACCUUUUCUUGUCCCGGUCAUGCAUCUUGGAGUUCCUUGGCUAAGUCUGCAGGGAGGAGAAGCAGCAGGCUUGAUUUGCAUCAAUAAAAGCAGUGAUCUGUGCUGGCCAUGCUAACCCUGUUGGCUGUUAGGGGGUGGGGGCACUCUGUAAAGGGGAGUCACUGGGACGGUGUAGGAUCAGCCUUCAGAGCCUGCUGCCUGACCGUAGAGGAGGAACCUGCACACACCCUGCUGUUUUAGUUCACGAACAGCUAUCGAAGCCUGUUAGCCAUCCUGGUUACCUGCUUGUGCCAGACAGAACUUACUGUCCCAGACAGUGAAGUGAGUUCUAUAAAAGCCCGGUCUCCUCCCUCAUGUGACCUGCACCAAGAACCACCCAGGGGACUGGAGUCACUGAGUCACAGGAGCCUCUGGAAGGUUCUCAUGACUAAGAAUCUGGGUGGCCUAAGCUGGAUUGGAUUAAUCACCCAACGCCCCAUCAUGGGACCACUGACUGCAAAACCCUCAAAGCUCUACACUCGGGGUGUGAGCAGAAACAGACACAUGCUUACCACCGCUAACAGGCAUCAGUAAAUACUAUUUAAAUACGUGCUUGAUCAUCAUAAGACAUUAAAGAUGUUAAAGAAGUACUUACGU
Molecule: long non-coding RNA, 1617 nt
Filed under: Pan troglodytes (chimpanzee)
Lineage: Eukaryota; Metazoa; Chordata; Mammalia; Primates; Hominidae
Description: long non-coding RNA NONPTRT017530
Source: RNAcentral